Molecule: long non-coding RNA, 394 nt
Organism: Dreissena polymorpha
Lineage: Eukaryota; Metazoa; Mollusca; Bivalvia; Myida; Dreissenidae
Exons: 4
Source: RefSeq, a predicted model, not a curated record
GACCUCGUAAGUAUAGUCGUCUGAGACCGCGUAACUGGCACUAUGUUGUUUUUUAAAUUUAGGAUGAAUCUUCAGAGAUGUUCUACGCAUAUGCGGCAGAGUUCAACGAUGUUAGUGUGGAAGCAGCUUCCAAAAAGAAGCACCUGCGGCGCUCUAGUCUUCUCUCAAAGAAGGCUUCCAUUGUUGUGGAGUACAUUGAACGACAUCAUGGCCUAGAAGAACAUACCUGGGAAAAAUACUAGCAGCAACGAGUACCACACAGCCGCCAGAAUGCACGCCGCCAUUUUGAAACACGUCUGAGUGAACCGAUGGUUUCCAUGGAUUCCAUGAAGAUUCAAUUGAUUUGCUGCUUUUUAAUUGUCCAAUUAUUUUUAAAAAUAAACAUUUUGGUAAA